AACGAACGCUGGCGGCAUGCCUAACACAUGCAAGUCGAACGAGAGCUUCGGGCCUAGUGGCGCACGGGUGCGUAACGCGUGGGAACAUGCCUUUAGGUUCGGAAUAACUUCCCGAAUGGGGUCCUAAUACGGGCUCUAGUCUCCCGUCCAAAGGUUUAUCGAAUUUGGAUGGGCUGGCGUUGGAUUACCUAGUUGGUAGGGUAAAAGGCUACAAAGGCGACGUUCCAUAGCUGGUCAGUGAGGAUGGUCCCCCACACUGGGAGUGGGACACGGCCCAGACUCCUACGGGAGGCAGCAGUGGGGAAUAUUGGACAGUGGGCUGAAGCCUGAAGCAGCAAUGCCGCGUGAGUAAUGAAGGCCUUGGGGAUGGAAAGUACUUUUACCCGGGAUGAUAAUGACGGUACCAGGAGAAUAAGCUCCGGCUAACUCCGUG
Molecule: ribosomal RNA, 433 nt
Filed under: uncultured bacterium
Lineage: Bacteria
Description: partial 16S ribosomal RNA
Rfam family: Bacterial small subunit ribosomal RNA
Source: RNAcentral